Stegostoma tigrinum is the source of this 542-nucleotide long non-coding RNA. RefSeq lists it as uncharacterized. The record is from RefSeq and is a predicted model, not a curated record. The transcript has 3 exons. Lineage: Eukaryota; Metazoa; Chordata; Chondrichthyes; Orectolobiformes; Stegostomatidae.
GGUAUAUUCAAACUCACUUUAAAGAAAAAGAAAAUUACUGAGUUACCCAGAUUGUUCCUCAUAAGCCCCAGACACCCUUCCCAGCUUCCAGCUGAACAUAAUUCAAAACAGAAGUCUGUAAUAAGUAACUAAUCUGUUAUUGAAAACACAAAACGUAUUCCUUAAAGGGACACUUAAAGUCAUGGCAGAAAACAAGUGUUUCGACAAAAUGUUUUGACGAUGAUAAUGGAAUAUGAUGUGGGGAAUUGUGAGGUCAUGCACCUUAGCAGGAAGAUUUCGGAUGAAUAGAGGAGCUGAAUAUCAUUUAAGUAGAGAAAGACGGCAACAAAACUACGCAACAGGUGGCAACAAAUCCCACAUCUGAUUCUUCCUCAUCAGCAACAAAAAGAACAAGCAUCUCGUGUCGGGAGGAUGUCAGAAUCGGAGGGAGUGAGUGCCCACAGUAUCUUUAAGAGGAAAUAAGUGAUCAAAUUUAGUGCUUUUCACACCUGUUUUUGCCCACCUUGUCUAAUACUGCUUUCUGUCUCUUUGUAACCUCACAG